CCUACGGGAGGCUGCAGUGAGGAAUAUUGGUCAAUGGACGGGAGUCUGAACCAGCCAAGUAGCGUGAAGGAUGACUGCACUGUGGGUUGUAAACUUCUUUUAUAUGGGAAUAAAAUGGUCCACGUGUGGGAUUUUGUAUGUACCAUAUGAAUAAGGAUCGGCUAACUCCGUGCCAGCAGCCGCGGUAAUACGGAGGAUCCGAGCGUUAUCCGGAUUUAUUGGGUUUAAAGGGAGCGUAGGUGGAUUGUUAAGUCAGUUGUGAAAGUUUGCGGCUCAACCGUAAAAUUGCAGUUGAAACUGGCAGUCUUGAGUAGAGUAGAGGUGGGCGGAAUUCGUGGUGUAGCGGUGAAAUGCUUAGAUAUCACGAAGAACUCCGAUUGCGAAGGCAGUUCACUGGACUGCAACUGACACUGAGGCUCGAAAGUGUGGGUAUCAAACAGGAUUAGAUACCCCAGUAGUC
RNAcentral lists this ribosomal RNA (460 nucleotides) under uncultured bacterium. Its description in RNAcentral is "partial 16S ribosomal RNA". It matches the Rfam family "Bacterial small subunit ribosomal RNA", at positions 338 to 795 of the family's 1533-position model. The record is from RNAcentral.